CCUGUAAGACAGGCAGGUGAAGAGGGACAAUCACUGGCCCAGGCCCAGCUGCACGGCCGGGAAAGGGGGCCCAGGCCCUGGUGUCCACCUGCUUCCCAAAGGCCAAGAAGCCCAAAGGGCAUGCAGCUUCUAGUUCUUCCAGGAUUCAGCCACUUUUCCAAAAUCUGAGGUAUCCCCAUAUUUCCAGAUGCUCCCCUUCUACCCAAAACACCAAGCCCCUGAGGACAUUCCUGGCCCACAGCAGGGGGAGGGUAUUUUGUAUGAGACACUGAGAAACCCUAACUGGGGUUGGUGUGCUGGGGGGAAUGUGGGGUGGGCAGAGCAGCCAUGUAGAAGACCAACUCAGGAGCUCACAGCGUCCACUAAGCCUGCGGUUAGAAGUCCUUUGAGAGCCAGCCCCAGAGGCAGCCAUGCAUGGCCCGGAAAGUCCCUUGAAUAGUAGUCACGGAAAGCCUGGCCGAAGGACAAGCUCAGGAAGGCAGGGGGAGCCAGAGGAAAAGGUGACCUCCAGGGUGCAAGAGGGUGCAUGGUCACUGGCGAGUGGCAUGGGAGCCGAGUCCUCUGCUGCAGGGGCCGCAGGGAAGGGGCUUGGAAGGAGGGUGGUGUGGAGAGGUGACCUGGAGAGGGCCUGGCAGUGCUCACCUCGUCCAGCACGGCAUUGCGCUUGGCCCGCUGCCGCUGCCGGAGCAGCACCAGGCCAGCAAUGAUGUCGGACGGCACAAUGUCAAGGUCCCGGAAGAACUCCGCAAAGAGGUCACCCUGACUCUGCAUUAUUUCUUCUCCUAAACUACAGUGUAAGUUCCAAGGGAGUCGAUGCAGUCUUCACAGCUUUCUGUUCCCUUGACAAAGCAAGUGGACGCGGUCUUGAACGCUGGAGCAAGUGGCUCAGUGAAUAACAGGCCCUGUGUGAGCAGGCUGUACUUGCUGCUGGAAACCCAGCUCCUUCCCACCAGCCCUGCCCCAUCCUGCUUUGCCAAAGGAGCAAACAGCCCCUUAAUCACCUGACCACAGGAUGUGAGCCAGAGGGGAGCGACCUCCCAGUACUUACUGACUGGGAGUCCUUCGUCCGCGUGCAGCAGAGGAACACUUUGAGCCGGCGCGACCAGCUGGUGGCUUGACCCUCCUCUAAGCGGUGCCUGCAAAGCAGGAGAGGCGGUAUGUGUGAGGUCAGAGGGCUGAACCAGAAAAGCUGGGACCCAGACAUUCUGGAAACAGGGCAGCCUGUUCCCAGGACCUUACCAAAGGGUUCCCACGGGGGUUCUUAGGGGUAACAGGGCCCAGGCCCUGUCAGAGCUGGUGGCCAGUGGCCUGGCUGCUGGCCAGCAGCGGCACUGCCUGACGGACUCCUGCUAGCCUAAGAUGGUGUGUGCUGUUGGCCAAAGGUGGGUGGUUGGAAGAGGGAGGUGGGGAGUGCUGGAGAGACCUGGCUUUUGGAAGACCGAACACAGGCAGGCUCUGGGGCUUCAGAGCUGGGAGCCCAAAGUGGGGGCUACCCUGCAGCUCAGGUGUCCAAAGACUCAAACCCUGGGAGAGGUCAGCAGGGUACUGGGCCUCUCUGUCGUCUCGUUCUAAGGCCUGGAACAGACCUUCCAGAAAGACCUGCUUUUCCCCAGAAAGGAUUUCAGACACUUACAUACUUACAUACUCUACUUACAGGAAAUUUAUGGGGCUGAAUGAGGCUCUGCAUUUCCCAAUUCCUUGGAUCUGAUACCUAGGCAGAGGGCUCCAUCCCUCACCCACAUGGUUGCCCUUGUCUAUUCUCACCCCCCAGCCCCACCCCCAGUGGGUCUGGCUGCUCGGAUGGAGAUUCAGGGUCUCCAGGAGUCUGUACCCAAAGGCAGAGCAAUGCGCCAGUUAUUCACAGAGGUUCCUCCUAGGCUGGAUGUCUGCAGUCGGUGUGUUUUGAGCAUAAAGAUAACAGAUCCAACAUUAAAAGUGCAGACCUCCGAACCGAGCAAGAAGGGGCUGGCUUGCUUUUGUGCCAUGUGCUGGCCCCUUAAAAGCCUGACGCUGGGUGGUCAGGAGAGGAAGGCAAGGGUGGCCCUCAGAUGCAUUCAAGGCACUUAACAUCCAUCUGGAGUGACAGGCCAGGCCCUUUCUGAGCCUCUGGGCUCCUCCGUCUGUCUAAGGACCGCUUCCUGCUCUCCAACCUUGGCUCCAUAAGGCAGAUGGCCACGAGGAGGGCAACAGGGUCUUCCAGGGCUAAAGAAGGUGGGUAGGGAAGGGUGCAGGGAAUUGCUGCUCUGGGGACCUGCUGGCUCUUAGGGACUUGGACAGCUGUAUAUCCAAAACCAAUGUCCCACCUUCCAGGGCUUGAUGAAGGGACAGUGUGCUGGCCAAGCAGGAUUCCCCAGAGCACUGUGGGAUGGGUGGUGGUGGCCAGCUGGGCUGGGAGGGAAAAUGGGCUAUGGGGCCUUGGCUCCUAGACCUGACAUUUUGGGCUGGGACGUGGCCAGAGCAGGCACGGGUGUGGCUCUGGCUGCAGUGCUGAGCUGACGUGGAAGGUCUACGGGGAGCCGAACACAGCAGCGCAGGAGGGUGGGAUGGGGAGAACUCCUGCCGGGCGGGGGGGUCCAGGCAGCCUGCUCCCCAGGUGAGGGCGCUUGAGCCAGCUGCUCUGGGCUGCAGGUGUGGUGCCAGUUCUGCACCUCAGCAGCUCGACCCGGGGCAGGCGACCUGCCCUCUCUGGGACACGGAUUCCUCAUCUGUGGAAUGGAUCUCACAACCAUGCCGGGGUUCACAAAGGGAUUAAAUGGAUGAAUUGUGUGAAGGGCUCGGCAUGGGGAGCUCCUUACAUAAUGCACUGUAGAAGCCCCAUUAACAGGAGGUACUGGGACCCACCCUGGAAGCCCCUGUCUUUUUCUUUCAACAAACAGAAAUUAUUGUGACACUGC
Molecule: non-coding RNA, 2894 nt
Organism: Chlorocebus sabaeus (green monkey)
Lineage: Eukaryota; Metazoa; Chordata; Mammalia; Primates; Cercopithecidae
Source: RefSeq, a predicted model, not a curated record